Molecule: ribosomal RNA, 242 nt
Filed under: uncultured bacterium
Lineage: Bacteria
Description: partial 16S ribosomal RNA
Rfam family: Bacterial small subunit ribosomal RNA
Source: RNAcentral
GCAAGUCGAGCGCGAAAACACUUCGGUGUGAGUAGAGCGGCGGACGGGUGAGUAACGCGUAGGAAUCUACCCAGUAGUGGGGGACAACAGUCGGAAACGGCUGCUAAUACCGCAUACGCCCUAAGGGGGAAAGCGGGGGCCAUUAGGCCUCGCGUUAUUGGAUGAGCCUGCGUAGGAUUAGCUUGUUGGUGAGGUAAAGGCUCACCAAGGCGACGAUCCUUAGCUGGUCUGAGAGGAUGAUC